AAGGAAUAUUGGACAAUGGAGGCAACUCUGAUCCAGCCAUGCCGCGUGAAGGAAUAAGGCCCUAUGGGUUGUAAACUUCUUUUAGACGGGACAAAACCCCUUUACGUGUAAAGGGUUGAUGGUACUGUCAGAAUAAGCAUCGGCUAACUUCGUGCCAGCAGCCGCGGUAAUACGAAGGAUGCAAGCGUUAUCCGGAAUUAUUGGGUUUAAAGGGUGCGUAGGCGGACUAAUAAGUCAGUGGUGAAAGCCUGCAGCUUAACUGCAGAAUUGCCAUUGAUACUGUUAGUCUUGAGUACAGUUGAGGUAGGCGGAAUGUGUCAUGUAGCGGUGAAAUGCUUAGAUAUGACACAGAACACCGAUUGCGAAGGCAGCUUGCUAAGCUGUAACUGACGCUGAGGCACGAAAGCGUGGGGAGCGAACA
RNAcentral lists this ribosomal RNA (421 nucleotides) under uncultured bacterium. RNAcentral describes it as "bacterial SSU rRNA". It matches the Rfam family "Bacterial small subunit ribosomal RNA", at positions 356 to 774 of the family's 1533-position model. The record is from RNAcentral.